GGCCAUUCCUCAACGCUGAUAUACCAUUUACUGUUAGGAUUCCGAUGAGGCUGAGCAUUGUAGUUGAUCAGACCAUAUAGAAGCCCAUGCCUGAUAUUUGUUCUGCGCAAAGAAGCUAGCACUUCAUCCACUCGAACAAAUGCAUCAUCAUCUGUUUUCAUGACAUAGUUGGCUGAAAUGACUUCUGCCCCAAAAGUACAGAUUGCUACAGUCUUCCAGGUUAUAAGAUUGUAAUAGUCAACAAAAGGCAC
This 251-nucleotide unclassified non-coding RNA is filed under the name Hevea brasiliensis (rubber tree). The record is from RNAcentral. Lineage: Eukaryota; Viridiplantae; Streptophyta; Magnoliopsida; Malpighiales; Euphorbiaceae.